Molecule: ribosomal RNA, 1455 nt
Filed under: metagenome
Description: bacterial SSU rRNA
Rfam family: Bacterial small subunit ribosomal RNA
Source: RNAcentral
AGAGUUUGAUCAUGGCUCAGGAUGAACGCUAGCUACAGGCUUAACACAUGCAAGUCGAGGGGAAACGAUAUUGGAAGCUUGCUUCCGAUAGGCGUCGACCGGCGCACGGGUGAGUAACGCGUAUCCAACCUGCCCACCACUUGGGGAUAACCUUGCGAAAGUAAGACUAAUACCCAAUGAUAUCUCUAGAAGACAUCUGAAAGAGAUUAAAGAUUUAUCGGUGAUGGAUGGGGAUGCGUCUGAUUAGCUUGUUGGCGGGGUAACGGCCCACCAAGGCAACGAUCAGUAGGGGUUCUGAGAGGAAGGUCCCCCACAUUGGAACUGAGACACGGUCCAAACUCCUACGGGAGGCAGCAGUGAGGAAUAUUGGUCAAUGGACGAGAGUCUGAACCAGCCAAGUAGCGUGCAGGAAGACGGCCCUAUGGGUUGUAAACUGCUUUUAUAAGGGAAUAAAGUGAGAGUCGUGACUCUUUUUGCAUGUACCUUAUGAAUAAGGACCGGCUAAUUCCGUGCCAGCAGCCGCGGUAAUACGGAAGGUCCGGGCGUUAUCCGGAUUUAUUGGGUUUAAAGGGAGCAUAGGCCGGAGAUUAAGCGUGUUGUGAAAUGUAGACGCUCAACGUCUGCACUGCAGCGCGAACUGGUUUCCUUGAGUACGCACAAAGUGGGCGGAAUUCGUGGUGUAGCGGUGAAAUGCUUAGAUAUCACGAAGAACUCCGAUUGCGAAGGCAGCUCACUGGAGCGCAACUGACGCUGAAGCUCGAAAGUGCGGGUAUCGAACAGGACUAGAUACCCUGGUAGUCCACGCCGUAAACGAUGACUACUAGGUGUCGGGCAGCAAAGCUGUUCGGUGCCGCAGCAAACGCAAUAAGUAGUCCACCUGGGGAGUACGUUCGCAAGAAUGAAACUCAAAGGAAUUGACGGGGACCCGCACAAGCGGUGGAGCAUGUGGUUUAAUUCGAAGCAACGCGAAGAACCUUACCUGCUCUUGACAUCUCCCUGACCGGCAAGUAAUGUUGCCUUUCCUUCGGGACAGGGAUGACAGGUGGUGCAUGGUUGUCGUCAGCUCGUGUCGUGAGAUGUUGGGUUAAGUCCCGCAACGAGCGCAACCCCUAUCUUUAGUAGCCAGCGGUCAGGCCGGGCACUCUAGAGAGGCUGCCAGGGAUAACCUGGAGGAAGGUGGGGAUGACGUCAAAUCAUCAUGCCCCUUAUGAGCAGGGCUACACACGUGCUACAAUGGCGUAAACAAAGGGAGGCAGAACCGCGAGGUCGAGCAAAUCCCAAAAAUAACGUCUCAGUUCGGAUUGUAGUCUGCAACUCGACUACAUGAAGCUGGAAUCGCUAGUAAUCGCGAAUCAGAAUGUCGCGGUGAAUACGUUCCCGGGUCUUGUACACACCGCCCGUCACACCAUGGGAGUCAGUAACGCCCGAAGUCAGUGACCCAACCGUAAGGAGGGA